AGGUGGCGAGCGUUAUGCGGAUUUACUGGGAGUAAAGGGAGCGUAGGCGGAAGAUUAAGUGGGAUGUGAAAUACCCGGGCUAAGCUGGGGUGCUGCAUUCCAAACUGGUUAUCUAGAGUGCAGGAGAGGAGAGUGGAAUUCCUAGUGUAGCGGUGAAAUGCGUAGAGAUUAGGAAGAACACCAGUGGCGAAGGCGACUCUCUGGACUGUAACUGACGCUGAGGCUCGAAAGCGUGGGGAGCAAA
This 244-nucleotide ribosomal RNA is filed under the name uncultured bacterium. Its description in RNAcentral is "partial 16S ribosomal RNA". It matches the Rfam family "Bacterial small subunit ribosomal RNA", at positions 529 to 772 of the family's 1533-position model. The record is from RNAcentral.